AUCAGGAGGCACGGCCUCUCUGCUCCUCGCCAUCUCCCCACAGCACCCUUUUCUUUUCUUUUUUUUUGUAUAUUUUUUAAAGCCUCAUGGAAGGUUUUACUUGUAGAUUAACUUUCAAAGCGUAAGGAGUCAGAAUGGUUGACGUCAUGAGAAAAAUAUGUGGAGCUGAUUUCGACGAGAAGUGAAGAACCCAGAGCAAGAAAGCGGUUCUCACCCCUGAGCCCAGGGAAUUGGCAGCAUCUGGGUUUCAGAAGAGACAGCGCCUCUGAGUUGUCUUGAAGCGACGCUCUGCUAAACUCCUGUUCAUCUGGCUACAAGAUCUGAAUACUGUGACCACCAACUUGUUGAACCAGGACUCUGAGGCUGAUAUGCAAUGUCACUUCCAACAUUAAUCAGAUACUGCAUUUAAGUGCUGGUAUCAGUGGUUUGAUUUUCAGCAAAUGUGACAGUGGCCUUUGCAGUGGUCAGCUUCGGGCUUUGAACUCUCAGAGGAGGAAGGGGGAAAAAUUCAACACACCACCUUCUUGGUUGCAGCCUCAGAGAAAC
This is an RNA transcript of Eptesicus fuscus (big brown bat), 546 nucleotides long. RefSeq lists it as uncharacterized. The record is from RefSeq and is a predicted model, not a curated record. The transcript has 4 exons. NCBI's taxonomy places the organism in Eukaryota, Metazoa, Chordata, Mammalia, Chiroptera, Vespertilionidae.